CCGACCUUAGCUCAGUUGGUAGAGUGGAAGACUGUCGUGUAAGUAGACAAUCUUUAGGUAGUUGGUUCGAUUCCGGCAGGUUGGA
This is a non-coding RNA of Arabidopsis suecica, 85 nucleotides long. The record is from the annotation of a GenBank genome assembly. NCBI's taxonomy places the organism in Eukaryota, Viridiplantae, Streptophyta, Magnoliopsida, Brassicales, Brassicaceae.